GAACGCUGGCGGCAGGCCUAACACAUGCAAGUCGGACGGAAACGACAAGAACAAUCACUUCGGUGUGCGUUUUUGGGCGUCGAGUGGCGGACGGGUGAGUAACGCGUGGGAAUCUACCCUUUAGUUGGGGACAACAUAUGGAAACGUAUGCUAAUACCGAAUAUGCUCUACGGAGUAAAGGUGGCCUCUACUUGUAAGCUAUCGCUAAAGGAUGAGCCCGCGUUAGAUUAGCUAGUUGGUAAGGUAAAGGCUUACCAAGGCGACGAUCUAUAGCUGGUUUGAGAGGAUGAUCAGCCACACUGGGACUGAGACACGGCCCAGACUCCUACGGGAGGCAGCAGUGGGGAAUAUUGCACAAUGAGGGAAACCCUGAUGCAGCCAUGCCGCGUGUGUGAAGAAAGCCCGAGGGUUGUAAAGCACUUUCAAUUGUGAGGAAGAUUAAGUAGCUAAUACCUGCUUAGUUUGACGUUAACUUUAGAAGAAGCACCGGCUAACUCUGUGCCAGCAGCCGCGGUAAUACAGAGGGUGCAAGCGUUAUUCGGAAUUACUGGGCGUAAAGCGCGCGUAGGCGGACUGUUAAGUCGGUUGUGAAAGCCCUGGGCUCAACCUAGGAACUGCAUCCGAUACUGGCAAUCUAGAGUUUAAGAGAGGGAAGUGGAAUUCCAGGUGUAGCAGUGAAAUGCGUAGAUAUCUGGAGGAACAUCAGUGGCGAAGGCGACUUCCUGGCUUAAAACUGACGCUGAGGUGCGAAAGCUUGGGUAGCGAACGGGAUU
RNAcentral lists this ribosomal RNA (773 nucleotides) under uncultured bacterium. RNAcentral describes it as "bacterial SSU rRNA". It matches the Rfam family "Bacterial small subunit ribosomal RNA", at positions 31 to 779 of the family's 1533-position model. The record is from RNAcentral.